This 492-nucleotide ribosomal RNA is filed under the name uncultured bacterium. Its description in RNAcentral is "partial 16S ribosomal RNA". It matches the Rfam family "Bacterial small subunit ribosomal RNA", at positions 29 to 507 of the family's 1533-position model. The record is from RNAcentral.
AGUGAACGCUGGCGGUAGGCCUAACACAUGCAGGUCGAACGGCAGCACAGUAAGAGCUUGCUCUUACGGGUGGCGAGUGGCGGACGGGUGAGGAAUACAUCGGAAUCUACUUUUUCGUGGGGGAUAACGUAGGGAAACUUACGCUAAUACCGCAUACGACCUACGGGUGAAAGCAGGGGAUCUUCGGACCUUGCGCGAUUGAAUGAGCCGAUGUCGGAUUAGCUAGUUGGCGGGGUAAAGGCCCACCAAGGCGACAAUCCGUAGCUGGUCUGAGAGGAUGAUCAGCCACACUGGAACUGAGACAAGGUCCAGACUCCUACGGGAGGCAGCAGUGGGGAAUAUUGGACAAUGGGCGCAAGCCUGAUCCAGCCAUACCGCGUUGGUUAAGAAGUCCUUCGGGUUUUAAAGGCCUUUUGUUGGGAAAGAAAAGCAGCAGGUUAAUACCCCGCUGUUCUGACGGUACCCAAAGAAUAAGCACCGGCUAACUUCGUG